AGCGAACGCUGGCGGCAGGCCUAACACAUGCAAGUCGAACGAACUCUUCGGAGUUAGUGGCGGACGGGUGAGUAACACGUGGGAACGUGCCUUUUGGUUCGGAAUAACUCAGGGAAACUUGUGCUAAUACCGAAUGUGCCCUUCGGGGGAAAGAUUUAUCGCCAUUAGAGCGGCCCGCGUCUGAUUAGCUAGUUGGUGAGGUAACGGCUCACCAAGGCGACGAUCAGUAGCUGGUCUGAGAGGAUGACCAGCCACACUGGGACUGAGACACGGCCCAGACUCCUACGGGAGACAGCAGUGGGGAAUCUUGCGCAAUGGGCGAAAGCCUGACGCAGCCAUGCCGCGUGAAUGAUGAAGGUCUUAGGAUUGUAAAAUUCUUUCACCGGGGACGAUAAUGACGGUACCCGGAGAAGAAGCCCCGGCUAACUUCGUG
Molecule: ribosomal RNA, 433 nt
Filed under: uncultured bacterium
Lineage: Bacteria
Description: partial 16S ribosomal RNA
Rfam family: Bacterial small subunit ribosomal RNA
Source: RNAcentral